GGCUUUGUAGCUUAAGUGGUUAGAGCGUUGGCUGUACUCAAGCCUUGCACUUGUUUCCAUGGGUUCAAAUCCCACCGAGGCUG
RNAcentral lists this transfer RNA (83 nucleotides) under Schistocephalus solidus. It matches the Rfam family "tRNA". Rfam says of the family: Transfer RNA (tRNA) molecules are approximately 80 nucleotides in length. Their secondary structure includes four short double-helical elements and three loops (D, anti-codon, and T loops). The record is from Rfam by way of RNAcentral. Lineage: Eukaryota; Metazoa; Platyhelminthes; Cestoda; Diphyllobothriidea; Diphyllobothriidae.